CUACGGGGUGCUGCAGUGGGGAAUUUUGGACAAUGGAGGAAACUCUGAUCCAGGGAUACCGCGUGGGUGAUGAAGAUUUACGGAUUGUAAAGCCCUUUUAGUAGGGAAAAUAAUGAUGGUACCUACAGAAAAAGCAUCAGCUAACUCUGUGCCAGCGAGCUGCGGUAAUACAGAGGAUGCGAGUGUUAUUCGGAAUCACUGGGCGUAAAGGGCGCGUAGGCGGUUAUUUAAGUCCGCAAUGAAAUACCGGGGCUCAACUUCGGUGCUGUUGUGGAUACUGUUUAACUAGAGAACGGAAGAGGUGAAUAGAAUUCCUGGUGGAGAGGUGAAAUUCUUAGAUAUCAGGAGGAAUGCCAGAGGCGAAAGCGGUUCACUGGGACGUUUCUGACGCUGAGGCGCGAAAGCGUGGGGAUCAAACAGGAUUAGAUACCCUAGUAGUC
RNAcentral lists this ribosomal RNA (440 nucleotides) under uncultured bacterium. Its description in RNAcentral is "partial 16S ribosomal RNA". It matches the Rfam family "Bacterial small subunit ribosomal RNA", at positions 339 to 795 of the family's 1533-position model. The record is from RNAcentral.